GCAGAGGCAGGAAGAGGAAGCGGCACCCGCUUCGGGGACCCAGCCGGCGGCCAGGCCACCGCGCCCACCCGGCCGAUGGCACCGUGUUCCUGCGCCUCGGGAGGGAGGAGGCUCUGCGCGGGACUGCAGGUUCUGCCCCGCAUCGGAGUGAUCGCUGAGCCUGACGCUCUCGAAGGCUGGGCCUGGGGCCCGCAAUCUACUCCGGAGGCUUUCCCACUGGGCAGGGUCGCUAGCAGGGUGAGAGAAAGCCCCGGGCCAUCCCCGAGUGCCGGGGCCACAGGAAGAAUUUGUGGCGACAUCAUCCCUUCCCCAGGUGCCACCCGGGUGCAGUGAGGACCUGGAGCCCCUGCCCCAGGCUGUGAGGAGACUUGACCAGAGCUGCCUGAAUGCUCCACGGAGCAGGUGGGAGCCCACCCUCCCAGGUGCAGGACCCGGGAGUCUCUGCACUCUGCACCCUCGGGGGCCCAGGGGACCCCCUUGCCCUUGCAGGCUUGUAUCUGCUCCUGCUGCCUAGCCUCUCCCCACUGCCGGCGCCUGCCUGGAUCUCGGAGCAGGGUUGGGGCCGUGCCCCAGCACUGACAGCCCGGCCAGGAGGAAGCAUUCCCAUGUGAAAGAUGAGCUCCCUAUAAAAGCAACGCUCUUAUCAUCGAGAACAGAAAGUUGAAGCCAAGAGAGAGCUCCACAAGCUGACCUUGUUAAACUAACCCUUAUCUUCUUAGUCGCUUCUUUACCCAAUUAACUACCCUAGCCGAAGCCCCUUUGCCUUAUUACAUUUUGCAACAGUGUUCGUUGUCCAAUUCAGUAUACAAGUGAGUGACUCUGGAUGCUUUUUGGGGUCUUCGUUUCCUUAUGAGGGCUUCUGUGCCAUGUAAAACUUGUAUUAAAUAAAUUUGUAUGCUUUUCUCCUGUUAAUCUGUCUAUAUCGAUUGAACUUUAGGGUCCAGUCAGAACCCAAAGAGGAUGGAGGUGGAGUUUUGGCUCCUCUACAGCUAUCUGAAUAAUCAAAAUUCAAGAUAUUCCAUGUUCUUUCUGAGUUUCUUUGAAAUUAAAAAUGCAGACAACCACUCAACUAAUACGUCAGCGAGAUACGUUUUCUGUCCUUAUUGCCUUACUGAUGAAAUUGCCUUUAUUCAUAAAAAAUAAAUGUGGGAGUCUUGUUUAUUUAUUUCUAAUGACAUUAACUUGACAUUAACCUUGGUGCUCUUGGGAACCAUAAAUGGGCCCUGUACUACUUGUUACAGAGUAUAAAUUCCCAGAACUACAAGUACAUCAUAUUCCUCAAGUUACUGAAGAAUUUCAUGAUCCAUGUGUCAGGCCUCUGAGCCCAAGC
RNAcentral lists this long non-coding RNA (1330 nucleotides) under Homo sapiens (human). RNAcentral's name for it is "non-protein coding lnc-KMO-1:13". The record is from RNAcentral. Lineage: Eukaryota; Metazoa; Chordata; Mammalia; Primates; Hominidae.